UACGUGGGGGGCAAGCGUUGUUCGGAAUUACUGGGCGUAAAGGGCUCGUAGGUGGCCAACUAAGUCAGACGUGAAAUCCCUCGGCUUAACCGGGGAACUGCGUCUGAUACUGGAUGGCUGGAGUAUGGGAGAGGGAUGCGGAAUUCCAGGUGUAGCGGUGAAAUGCGUAGAUAUUCGGAAGAACACCAGUGGCGAAGGCGACUUACUGGACACAUAUUGACGCUGAGGUGCGAAAGCGUGGGGAGCAAACAGG
Molecule: ribosomal RNA, 253 nt
Filed under: uncultured bacterium
Lineage: Bacteria
Description: partial 16S ribosomal RNA
Rfam family: Bacterial small subunit ribosomal RNA
Source: RNAcentral